GACGAACGCUGGCGGCGUGCCUAAUACAUGCAAGUAGAACGCUGAAGGAGGAGCUUGCUUCUCUGGAUGAGUUGCGAACGGGUGAGUAACGCGUAGGCAACCUGCCUGGUAGCGGGGGAUAACUAUUGGAAACGAUAGCUAAUACCGCAUAACAGUAGAUAUCGCAUGAUAUCUACUUGAAAGGUGCAAUUGCAUCACUACCAGAUGGACCUGCGUUGUAUUAGCUAGUUGGUGAGGUAACGGCUCACCAAGGCGACGAUACAUAGCCGACCUGAGAGGGUGAUCGGCCACACUGGGACUGAGACACGGCCCAGACUCCUACGGGAGGCAGCAGUAGGGAAUCUUCGGCAAUGGACGGAAGUCUGACCGAGCAACGCCGCGUGAGUGAAGAAGGUUUUCGGAUCGUAAAGCUCUGUUGUAAGAGAAGAACGAGUGUGAGAGUGGAAAGUUCACACUGUGACGGUAUCUUACCAGAAAGGGACGGCUAACUACGUG
This 495-nucleotide ribosomal RNA is filed under the name uncultured bacterium. RNAcentral's name for it is "partial 16S ribosomal RNA". It matches the Rfam family "Bacterial small subunit ribosomal RNA", at positions 28 to 507 of the family's 1533-position model. The record is from RNAcentral.